This 497-nucleotide ribosomal RNA is filed under the name uncultured bacterium. RNAcentral's name for it is "partial 16S ribosomal RNA". It matches the Rfam family "Bacterial small subunit ribosomal RNA", at positions 28 to 507 of the family's 1533-position model. The record is from RNAcentral.
GACGAACGCUGGCGGCGUGCCUAAUACAUGCCAGUUGAGCGCUGAAGGUUGGUACUUGUACCAACUGGAUGAGCAGCGAACGGGUGAGUAACGCGUGGGGAAUCUGCCUUUGAGCGGGGGACAACAUUUGGAAACGAAUGCUAAUACCGCAUAAAAACUUUAAACACAAGUUUUAAGUUUGAAAGAUGCAAUUGCAUCACUCAAAGAUGAUCCCGCGUUGUAUUAGCUAGUUGGUGAGGUAAAGGCUCACCAAGGCGAGGAUACAUAGCCGACCUGAGGGGGUGAUCGGCCCCAUUGGGACUGAGACCCGGCCCAAACCUCUACGGGAGGCAGCAGGAGGGAAACUUCGGCAAUGGACGGAAGGCUGACCGCGCCACGCCGCGGGAGGGAAGAAGGUUUUCGGAUCGGAAAACUCUGUUGGUAGGGAAGAACGUUGGUGAGAGUGGAAAGCUCAUCAAGUGACGGUAACUACACAGAAAGGGACGGCUAACUACGUG